Molecule: ribosomal RNA, 421 nt
Filed under: uncultured bacterium
Lineage: Bacteria
Description: bacterial SSU rRNA
Rfam family: Bacterial small subunit ribosomal RNA
Source: RNAcentral
GGGGAAUAUUGCGCAAUGGGCGAAAGCCUGACGCAGCCACGCCGCGUGAGCGAUGAAGGCCUUCGGGUCGUAAAGCUCUGUGGGGAGAGACGAAGAAAGCCUGUGAAGAGCAGGCCUUGACGGUAUCUCCUUAGCAAGCACCGGCUAACUCCGUGCCAGCAGCCGCGGUAAUACGGAGGGUGCGAACGUUGCUCGGAAUCAUUGGGCGUAAAGCGCACGUAGGCGGCGGCGUAAGCGGGAUGUGAAAGCCCAGGGCUCAACCCUGGAAGUGCAUCCCGAACUGUGUCGCUUGAAUCUCGGAGGGGGACAGAGAAUUCCCGGUGUAGAGGUGAAAUUCGUAGAUAUCGGGAGGAAUACCAGUGGCGAAGGCGCUGUCCUGGACGAAGAUUGACGCUGAGGUGCGAAAGCGUGGGGAGCAAAC